This 466-nucleotide ribosomal RNA is filed under the name uncultured bacterium. RNAcentral's name for it is "bacterial SSU rRNA". It matches the Rfam family "Bacterial small subunit ribosomal RNA", at positions 328 to 792 of the family's 1533-position model. The record is from RNAcentral.
UAGCCAGACUCCUACGGGAGGCAGCAGUGAGGAAUAUUGGUCAAUGGUCGGGAGACUGAACCAGCCAAGCCGCGUGAGGGAUGAAGGUACAGAGUAUCGUAAACCUCUUUUGCCAGGGAACAAAGGCGGGGACGUGUCCCCGGAUGAGUGUACCUGAAGAAAAAGCAUCGGCUAACUCCGUGCCAGCAGCCGCGGUAAUACGGAGGAUGCGAGCGUUAUCCGGAUUUAUUGGGUUUAAAGGGUGCGUAGGCGGACGCUUAAGUGGGCGGUAAAAUGGCGGGGCUAACCCUCGUCGAGCCGUUGAAACUGGGUGCCUUGAGUGGGCGAGAAGUACGCGGAAUGCGUGGUGUAGCGGUGAAAUGCAUAGAUAUCGCGCAGAACCCCGAUUGCGAAGGCAGCGUGCCGUGCCGCCACUGACGCUGAGGCACGAAAGCGCGGGGAUCGAACAGGAUUAGAUACCCUAGUA